Molecule: ribosomal RNA, 301 nt
Filed under: uncultured bacterium
Lineage: Bacteria
Description: partial 16S ribosomal RNA
Rfam family: Bacterial small subunit ribosomal RNA
Source: RNAcentral
CAGUAGCCGCGGUAAUACAGAUGGUGCAAGCGUUAAUCGGAAUUACUGGGCGUAAAGCGCGCGUAGGUGGUUUGUUAAGUUGGAUGUGAAAUCCCCGGGCUCAACCUGGGAACUGCAUCCAAAACUGGCAAGCUAGAGUAUGGUAGAGGGUGGUGGAAUUUCCUGUGUAGCGGUGAAAUGCGUAGAUAUAGGAAGGAACACCAGUGGCGAAGGCGACCACCUGGACUGAUACUGACACUGAGGUGCGAAAGCGUGGGGAGCAAACAGGAUUAGAUACCCCAGUAGUCCCUGUCUCUUAUAC